UACGUAGGGGGCAAGCGUUAUCCGGAUUUACUGGGUGUAAAGGGAGCGUAGACGGUAAUGCAAGUCUGGAGUGAAAACCCGGGGCUCAACCCCGGGACUGCUUUGGAAACUGUAUAACUGGAGUGCCGGAGAGGUAAGCGGAAUUCCUAGUGUAGCGGUGAAAUGCGUAGAUAUUAGGAGGAACACCAGUGGCGAAGGCGGCUUACUGGACGGUAACUGACGUUGAGUCUCGAAAGCGUGGGGAGCAAACAGG
This 253-nucleotide ribosomal RNA is filed under the name uncultured bacterium. Its description in RNAcentral is "partial 16S ribosomal RNA". It matches the Rfam family "Bacterial small subunit ribosomal RNA", at positions 524 to 776 of the family's 1533-position model. The record is from RNAcentral.